GCUGGGUCCACAGCCUUGGCCCUCGCCCCGAGGGGACAGCCCGCCGGGGCCCUUCGUAGAGGUGCCAGCAGGCGCGCCAAGCGACCCCGCAUCGCCAGGGACCCGAGGUUCUGCAUGUCAGACACUGAUUUCCAGCGCCUGUUCUCUGCCUUGACUACCUUUUACAUCCACUGCCACGCCUCCACAAUCUUACCUAACGACCCACUUCCCAUCUCCCUCGUGGCUUCUGAUGGGAUCUGGCACUGGAAGAAAUGCCCAGGGUCUCACAGCUAGAAGAAGAGGAGGAGCAAAAAGAUGAAGAAGAAGAAGUCUAAUGGGAUGAUGUCAAUUGGGGAACAACAACAAAUUGUGCUCUUUUUGUAGGUGGCAAAGAAUGGGAAUCUGAGGGAGUAUCCAACAAGUUUGACACAUGGAUGUGAUGGAAUACUGUUGUGUUGAACUUUUAUCAGUAUAAUUACCAAGCAUAAUUCCAGAAGACUAAUGAUUAAAUAUGUCGCCUCCACCCCAAUAGAGAGGUGAAGGACUCAGAAGACAAACAUUUUAGGCCAUGGCCACUGUGGAAAUUCGUAUUGAUCGACUAUGCCUGUUUGUAAUGAGUUUUGUUUUUCUGGUGUUCUCGAUGGGAAGCUGAGGGUGGUAGGGUAAAAAGGUGGGCAUUGGCUGCAUAAAACAAAAAACUAAACUUGGGAAUUCUAUGACCAAUCAAAAUUCCUGAGGACUCAUGAUGAAACAUGCUACCCACAUCCUGGUAGGGAGUUGGUGGUUUCAGGGCACAAACAGACAUCCUUUUGGACAUAGUCAAUGCAAACAUUAGUUUUGCUUAGUUAUACCUGAUGCGAACAAGGGUUCGGGUUUUUCUUGCUUUCUGGAUGGAGGGCAACAGAAGGGAAGUGGAAGGGAGAGAAGGCUGAUCUUUGAAAAUAAAAUAAAAUUUAAUUUAAAAAAAAGUCAAACUCUAACAUCUGGGCUAUCUCCGAGUUGAGGAACCCUAAGACCUUGGGUGUACUGCAUGGUUGUUACUUUCCAGGUUCCUGCAUGGUGUCUUUCACAUAAUAAACUGUAUGAUUUAACCUAAAAACAAAGAAACAAAAUAA
Dromiciops gliroides (monito del monte) is the source of this 1094-nucleotide long non-coding RNA. RefSeq lists it as uncharacterized. Lineage: Eukaryota; Metazoa; Chordata; Mammalia; Microbiotheria; Microbiotheriidae. The record is from RefSeq and is a predicted model, not a curated record. The transcript has 4 exons.